Molecule: long non-coding RNA, 374 nt
Organism: Helicoverpa armigera (cotton bollworm)
Lineage: Eukaryota; Metazoa; Arthropoda; Insecta; Lepidoptera; Noctuidae
Exons: 3
Source: RefSeq, a predicted model, not a curated record
CAUAGAUGACACCUGUCAAAUGAACGGGAAAAUAACGCAUGCGUUUUUUGCGAAGACAACUAAACCGCAUCCUUUGUUUUCUAGUUUUCUGUUUUAUAACAUAUUUCGCAAAUUUUCAAGUCGUCUAAGACUUGAUUGACAAAAUAAUACAUACUUCAUAUUUAGUGAUAAACCCAAGUAUAUUCCAGUAGUAUCGUACGCAUCGUAAACAUAAAUUUCGUUGACAAAUUAGAUGAAUAAUAAAGACAUACAACUGAGUAAAUCAUUAUCUUGGCUGCUACGACACGGAGCAGUCCGAGAAGGUUUCGCACUAAGCAAGAAGCCAUUGUUAUCAGUAAACAAAACAAACGCAUUGUUUCAGCCCUGAAGGAUAU